Molecule: ribosomal RNA, 484 nt
Filed under: uncultured bacterium
Lineage: Bacteria
Description: partial 16S ribosomal RNA
Rfam family: Bacterial small subunit ribosomal RNA
Source: RNAcentral
AUUGAACGCUGGCGGCAGGCCUAACACAUGCAAGUCGAGCGGAUGAAGGGAGCUUGCUCCUGGCUUCAGCGGCGGACGGGUGAGUAAUGCCUAGGAAUCUGCCUGGUCGUGGGGGAUAACGUCCGGAAACGGGCGCUAAUACCGCAUACGUCCUGAGGGAGAAAGUGGGGGAUCUUCGGACCUCACGCUAUCAGAUGAGCCUAGGUCGGAUUAGCUAGUUGGUGGGGUAAAGGCCUACCAAGGCGACGAUCCGUAACUGGUCUGAGAGGAUGAUCAGUCACACUGGAACUGAGACACGGUCCAGACUCCUACGGGAGGCAGCAGUGGGGAAUAUUGGACAAUGGGCGAAAGCCUGAUCCAGCCAUGCCGCGUGUGUGAAGAAGGUCUUCGGAUUGUAAAGCACUUUAAGUGGGGAGGAAGGGCAGUAAGUGAAUACCGUGCUGUUUUGACGGUACCAACAGAAUAAGCACCGGCUAACUUCGUG